GAGGAAAGUCCGGACUCCAUAUCAGGAAUUGUUGUUGAAGAAAUUUCAGUAUAAGUAAUUGUGAGGAAAGUGCCACAGAAAUAUACCGCUUUAUAUAUAUUAUGUCUAUAUUAAUAAGCAAGGGUGCAAAGGUGUAUUAAGAGUACACCAGAAAUACUGUUAAACUAUUUGCUGGGUAAACCCCGUCAAGGAGUAAAGUUAACGAGCGCUGUUGCGACUUAUAUAUCUCUGAUUAAAUAAAAAUAAUAUACAUAAAGAGCUUGUGAAUCAAAUACCGCAUAAAGUAUGAAGUACUUGAGAAGUACUACUAAAGAUUAAUAACUACCCUUCGCAUUUAUCUUAAGAAGAACAGAAUCCGGCUUAU
This 364-nucleotide RNase P RNA is filed under the name Yamadaella caenomyce. RNAcentral describes it as "Ribonuclease P RNA". It matches the Rfam family "Bacterial RNase P class A", at positions 43 to 352 of the family's 367-position model. Rfam says of the family: Ribonuclease P (RNase P) is a ubiquitous endoribonuclease, found in archaea, bacteria and eukarya as well as chloroplasts and mitochondria. Its best characterised activity is the generation of mature 5'-ends of tRNAs by cleaving the 5'-leader elements of precursor-tRNAs. Cellular RNase Ps are ribonucleoproteins. The record is from RNAcentral. Lineage: Eukaryota; Rhodophyta; Florideophyceae; Nemaliales; Liagoraceae.